Molecule: long non-coding RNA, 2063 nt
Filed under: Ovis aries (sheep)
Lineage: Eukaryota; Metazoa; Chordata; Mammalia; Artiodactyla; Bovidae
Description: lncRNA (ENSOARG00000025214.1)
Source: RNAcentral
AUGUUUCUCUCAAGCCAAGGAAGCAAAACAUCCCCUUCUUACCUUUUUACUUUUCUUGGCUUUUCUGCCUUUUUUUUUUUUUUUUUUUUUUUUUUUCCAAGCCUCAGUUUUUUUCCAUCAGAUUAUCUCAGUCUGAUGCUAGGUGCCAAGAUUCCUGAUCGGUGCCUCCUGAAAGCUGGUCUCAGCAUCUCCUCCAAAAGGAGGUCCCAGGCUCACUGGGUCACCCAGCAGGAAGCAUCACAAGUAAGCAUUAGGCUUUACUGGAGACUGUCCUUCAAGAGUUAUACUUACGAUGUAAUUAUAGACUCACAGUGUGUCCUCUGGGGCAGCAAACAUUCUUCACCAGGUAAAUAUGGGCAUCACUCUGACCAUGAGAUAAAAAGAAAGCUCUGGGCCUUCUCAUCCCAGACUGAGGGUCAGAAGCAGGAAGUCAUCUGUUCAGUGUGCUUCCAAUCUAGAGUCACUGCCAACUGUCCUGAACAUACCUGCAUAGACACACACACACACACACACUCUCUCUCACACACACACCUGCACACACACACAGAUAUCGGGAGCACCUGGCCGUGCCCUCUGCAUCCUCCCACGCCCCCAUGGACCGUCUCACAGACUGAAUCUCCCUGUGCAGAGCCUGUCCUCUGUGGGGGGUCUCUCUAAGCCAGACUCCACCUCUCCACCCAGGAACCAGGGUCCAGGGCCUUGGUUCUCAGCACAGAGCUUCAUCUGGGAGCUCAAUAGAAAUGCCAAGUCACAGCCCUAGUCCCUGCCCCUGAAUCAGAACUUUCACAAGACCCCGUGGUGCCCCUGUAUUUGGAGUCUGAGCAGUGCUGGGAGGGGGGCUCCUCUGCGUAUGUCUCUCCUGAACACAGGACUUGGCCUGGCUCCUCUCCAUCCCCCAGGUGUCCGGUGGCCCCCAGUCUCCCAUGGCAGUGCCCGGGUGAAUUCUGCCCCAAGAGGGGCUUGGGCAGAGGGGACGGGAGACUGAGGGAGACGGCGUGUGAAGCACCCGGCAGCCUCUUCCUUGCUCUCCUCCCCCUCCCUCCAGUCAGUCCUUCUUUGUCUUUUUUAUUUUCUUCACAUUCACUAUUCUUAUUCUAUGAGUCACGAUUAAGCCUUUGGGAAGACAUGGUACAUACAUGCAACAGACACUACUCAGUCAUGAAAGAGAAGGAAAUCAUGCCAUCUGCAGCAACGCGGAUGCAACCAGAGACUCCUACUGGCUGAAGUGACACAGAGAAAGACAAAUGUAUCAGUUACAUGCGGACCUGAAAAGGUAACACAAACGAACUUAUCUACAAAACAGACGCAGACACAGAAGACAGACUUGGGGUUGCCCGGGGAAAAAGGGUGGUGGAGGAACGAAUGGGGAGAUUGGGAUGAGCAGAUGCAAGCUGUUACCUAUAGUACGGAUGAGCACCAGGCUCCUACUGUGUAGCACAGGGAGGUAUGGUCAAUAUCCUGGGAUAAACCAUAAUGGAAGAGUACACUUCAUAUGUAGCUGUAACUGAAUCACACAGACUUCCCCUGUGGCUCAGAUAGUAAAGAGUCCGCUCGCAGUGCAGGAGAUCCGGGUUUGAUUCCUGGGUCAGGAAGAUUCCCUGGAGGAGGGCAUGGCAACCCACUCCUGUAUUUUUGCCUGGAGAAUCCCAAGGACAGAGAAACUUGGUGGGCUAUAAUCCAUGGGGUUGCAUAGAGUCAGACACAACUGAGCGACUAACACAUAACUGAAUCACUGCUGUACAGCGGAAAUUAACGUAACAUUGUAAAUUAACCUAUUUCAGUAAAAUUUUAAAAGGAUUCAGACUCUGGAAAGUAAAUCAUUACAUACAUUGCUAACGCAUACAUAUUGUGCACUGUUUAUGAACAUAUAAUCACUGACUGUAUUUUAUUAAAAUAUAAAAGCUUCAAAAGGACUGUUACCCUCUAGGGAGGAAGGGGGGUCUGUUCCAUAAGGAGUUUCAUCUACAUGUGAAAUAGUGAGGCUCUCAGAAAGGAACCUGGAAGUGGGGUCCUUGGGAGGAGUGAGGUGGUGGAGUUUGGGACGUCCUCUGAAGGCAGCACGU